GGCAAAAUACACGUGGAAAUUUGACUCUAUUACAAAAGACCCCACCUCCACUAACAAAAGAAAACUUGUGACUCUUGUAAUUCAAGCAUUGGAUGGAUGCCUCUAAACUAUAGCUAAUUAUGUACAGAGGUUACAACAACAAUUUUCACAAAUUCAAAAAAAUACAUUAAUGAAUAAGUUCGUGAUUCCAUCAUCCAGACUCGAAAGACGUUGAGUGAAAAAGGAAGCCCUGUAAAAGAGUCACAAGAGCUGAACUUGUGUUGAUACCACCUUCCUGUCAUUGUACAACAAAUCAAUAAUAUACCAUGGGGACAAUAGCGUUAGUCUAAAGUCUAAACUGUUGUCUCCAAAAGAAUUCAGCAUCCACAACCCAAAUCAUCCUCAAACCGACCAAAUUUCAAAAUCCUAUCUUUAAAUCUACAUUGUUCCUGCUACAGUAUCCUCUUCCUAUGCCUAUCAAUGCCGUGCGCCAACCCAAGCUUCAUCAUUCCCAUACAAACCUCCACCUGACAUUUAAAAUUUUCAUUGAGCGCAGCAAUCACCAGUGA
This 548-nucleotide long non-coding RNA is filed under the name Medicago truncatula (barrel medic). RNAcentral describes it as "lncRNA gene6891". Lineage: Eukaryota; Viridiplantae; Streptophyta; Magnoliopsida; Fabales; Fabaceae. The record is from RNAcentral.